RNAcentral lists this ribosomal RNA (1240 nucleotides) under Deois sp. AP-2016. RNAcentral's name for it is "SSU rRNA". It matches the Rfam family "Eukaryotic small subunit ribosomal RNA", at positions 721 to 1797 of the family's 1831-position model. Lineage: Eukaryota; Metazoa; Arthropoda; Insecta; Hemiptera; Cercopidae. The record is from RNAcentral.
ACCUGUGUUCCACGCUGUCGGUUCGCCGCCCGUCGGUGUCAACUGGCAUGUCCUGUGGAACGUCCUGCCGGUGGCGGUCCGGGCUUUCGGCUUGCGUAAGGGCUCACGCCCGAAGCAGGCCGAACAGUACCGGCCGCCGGUCCAAUCCCGCCACGGUGCUCUUCACCGAGUGUCGAGGUGGGCCGGCACGUUUACUUUGAACAAAUUAGAGUGCUUAAAGCAGGCUGGUGUCCGCCUGAAUACUGUGUGCAUGGAAUAAUAGAAUAGGACCUCGGUUCUAUUUUGUUGGUUUUCGGAACCCGAGGUAAUGAUUAAUAGGGACAGGCGGGGGCAUUCGUAUUGCGACGUUAGAGGUGAAAUUCUUGGAUCGUCGCAAGACGAACCUAAGCGAAAGCAUUUGCCAAGUAUGUUCUCGUUAAUCAAGAACGAAAGUUAGAGGUUCGAAGGCGAUCAGAUACCGCCCUAGUUCUAACCAUAAACGAUGCCAGCCAGCGAUCCGCCGAAGUUCCUCCGAUGACUCGGCGGGCAGCUUCCGGGAAACCAAAGCUUUUGGGUUCCGGGGGAAGUAUGGUUGCAAAGCUGAAACUUAAAGGAAUUGACGGAAGGGCACCACCAGGAGUGGAGCCUGCGGCUUAAUUUGACUCAACACGGGAAACCUCACCAGGCCCGGACACCGGAAGGAUUGACAGAUUGAGAGCUCUUUCUUGAUUCGGUGGGUGGUGGUGCAUGGCCGUUCUUAGUUGGUGGAGCGAUUUGUCUGGUUAAUUCCGAUAACGAACGAGACUCUAGCCUGCUAACUAGGCGAUUCCGGUACCCACAAUAGUGUUACCGGCGAUUCAAUUUCUUCUUAGAGGGACAGGCGGCUCCUAGCCGCACGAGACUGAGCAAUAACAGGUCUGUGAUGCCCUUAGAUGUCCUGGGCCGCACGCGCGCUACACUGAAGGAAUCAGCGUGUCUUCCCUGGCCGACAGGCCCGGGUAACCCGUUGAACCUCCUUCGUGCUAGGGAUUGGGGCUUGCAAUUGUUCCCCAUGAACGAGGAAUUCCCAGUAAGCGCGAGUCAUAAGCUCGCGUUGAUUACGUCCCUGCCCUUUGUACACACCGCCCGUCGCUACUACCGAUUGAAUGAUUUAGUGAGGUCUUCGGACUGGUGCGCGGCGAUCGGCUUUUACUGCCGGCCGCCGAUGUUGCCGGAAAGAUGACCAAACUUGAUCAUUUAGAGGAAGUAAAAGUCGUAACAA